AUCUCCAGCUGUGAUCUGUAUGUCACAGCAGCCCUAGGCAGCCUACAGCAAGCUUAUGCUUGGGCUUGAAAACUGAACAUGUUUCCACUUUUUCCAGACAAGGGGGGAAGAAAUCCAGGACAGGACAUGUCUGCUGAAGAUCAGCAGCAACGACUUUAGUCAUCAUGGCUGUAAUGCCAAAUCCCAUCCCAUACCAUCAGGGUUUACCUCAUGAGCAAAGGAGAUUAAGUUUCCGAAUUCAUGGUUCCCCCUUUGACAUAUAGAAUGCCUGAUUAUGAUUUCAGCAAGAUUCUGA
Vidua chalybeata is the source of this 295-nucleotide long non-coding RNA. RefSeq lists it as uncharacterized. The transcript has 2 exons. Lineage: Eukaryota; Metazoa; Chordata; Aves; Passeriformes; Viduidae. The record is from RefSeq and is a predicted model, not a curated record.